UUGUACGCAAACAGUUGAACGUGUAGCCUUUCAAAGUAUACUCCAUUUGAUAGUGUGAUAGCACAUCACCAAGAGUUAUUACAUUGUCUUAAUGUUUAAACUUAAUGUUUCAUUAAGUUGAAACAUUAAGACAAUUACAAAAAAAAAAAAUAAUAAUAAUAAAUAAAUAUUACAAACAAUAAGAAAAAAUGUUUUUUUUAUUUAUUUUUUUUUGUUGUUGUUUUUGUUUUUUUAAAUCAAACACAUCUGGCAGGAGACCGUAUACUAUGACAGACCUGUAACAUGAUCUGGGCAUUUUUAGAAUGUCUGCAUCAGCCGAUAGUUAUGUUGCUUCAAAUGACAUCAUGGAGUUUCUGUCAGGAGGUAUUUAAAAGGUUUUUUCCCCCCCAGUACAUUCAAAGCAGCAGCAGCAGAUCUCAGAGUAGUGGAUGUUUCUUCUUUUCAUCUCAUCACAAGAUAAUACAAAGGAAAAUGUAAGAGAAAUUGAUGAAUGGGAGAAUAUAUAUGGAGCAUCACAAACUGCAGGAGAAUUAAACAAAUGGAGAAGAGAGGAACAGAAAAAUGGCAAACAAAAAGGACAAAAAGUUAUGUUUUAAAGAAGCAAAGACACUGUUAAUCAGGCAGAACAGCAUUAAUAGCGGCAAACCAAACUUUUCUGACAUUGCAGAGCUUCAGAAGAAUCACAAACAAGGAACUAGCAGUUCUGUUCAUCUAACCAGCAGAAUAUUCUCCAUCAUGUUAGGCCACUGAUUAAACAAUGUAUAUCUGAUAUAUGGUUACAGUAAUAUACCAGUUUAUUCUAUUUAAAUGUAAAAUCCAUUCAUACACAUUCAUCUUACAUACAUUCAGUAGAUGAAUGUGUAUAAGUGGAUAUUUUUAAAAUCACAUGUUUGGAUUUUAUGAUUACACUACUUUUGAAAAAUCUGAUCUGAAUGUGACUUUUACAGUAAUCAUUGAUGUAAUCAGCCUUGUUGCUGAUGUUACUGUAUGAUUUAAUGUACAUAAUUUUGAGAAUGAAACUUUUACUGUAACAAAUCUAGAAACAUUGUCCAAACUUCCUAAAAAAAAAAG
Molecule: long non-coding RNA, 1071 nt
Organism: Labeo rohita (rohu)
Lineage: Eukaryota; Metazoa; Chordata; Actinopteri; Cypriniformes; Cyprinidae
Exons: 4
Source: RefSeq, a predicted model, not a curated record